GUACCAUAACCGACACAGGUGGGUAAGUAGAGUAUACUAAGGGGCGCGAGAUAACUCUCUCUAAGGAACUCGGCAAAAUAACUCCGUAACUUCGGGAGAAGGAGUGCCUUAUUCUUAAGGUUGCAAUAACAAGAUCCAAGCAACUGUUUAUCAAAAACACAGGUCUCCGCUAAGUCGUAAGACGAUGUAUGGGGGCUGACGCCUGCCCAGUGCCAGAAGGUUAAAGAAGUCGGUUAGCAAUAGCAAAGCUGGUAACUGAAGCCCUGGUGAAUGGCGGCCGUAACUAUAACGGUCCUAAGGUAGCGAAAUUCCUUGUCGGGUAAGUUCCGACCCGCUCGAAAGGCGUAAUGAUUUGGAUGCUGUCUCGGAGAGGAGCUCGGUGAAAUAGACUUGUCUGUGAAGAUGCGGACUACCUGCACCAGGACAGAAAGACCCUAUGAAGCUUUACUGUAACUUGAAAUUGAAAUUGGACUUUAUUCGCGCAGUAUAGGUGGGAGGCGUUGAUUAUAAUCUUGUGGGAUUAUUGGAGCCAUCAGUGUGAUACCACUCUUGUAAUGUUAGAUUUCUAACUUUGAAUCAUUAUCUGGUCAAAGGACAGUUUCAGGCGGGCAGUUUGACUGGGGCGGUCGCCUCCUAAACGGUAACGGAGGCGUACAAAGGUUUCCUCUGAACGGUUAGAAAUCGUAUCUAGAGUGUAAAGGCAUAAGGAAGCUUGACUGUGAGACCUACAAGUCGAGCAGGGACGAAAGUCGGUCUUAGUGAUCUGACGGUACUGAGUGGAAAGGCCGUCACUCAACGGAUAAAAGUUACUCUAAGGAUAACAGGCUGAUCUCCCCCAAGAGUUCACAUCGACGGGGAGGUUUGGCACCUCGAUGUCGGCUCAUCGCAUCCUGGGGCGGUAGUACGUCCCAAGGGUUGGGCUGUUCGCCCAUGAAAGCGGUACGCGAGCUGGGUUCGGAACGUCGUGAGACAGUUCGGUCCAUAUCCGGUGUAGGCGCUAGAAUAUUGAGAGGAGCCUUCUUUAGUACGAGAGGACCGAGAAGGACAUGCCUCUGGUGUACCAGUUAUCGUGCCAACGGUAAACGCUGGGUAGCUAUGUAUGGAGUGGAUAACCGCUGAAAGCAUCUAAGUGGGAAGCCCACCUCAAGAUAAGUAUUCUCAUCACGUAAGUGAGUAAGGUCACGGUAAGACUAACCGUUUGAUAGGCAUUAAGUGUAAGUACAGUAAUGUAUGUGCUGAAAUGUCCUAAUAGACCGAGGACUUC
Molecule: ribosomal RNA, 1264 nt
Filed under: metagenome
Description: bacterial LSU rRNA
Rfam family: Bacterial large subunit ribosomal RNA
Source: RNAcentral